UAUCUUCAAUGUUUAUGGAUCUUAGAAUGCAGUUGUUGGCUUUUUAAAAAAAAUUUUAUGAAAAACAUGUUAAAUUUCUUUCAUUCUUUGUAAGUUAUACAGACUAAUAUUCCAGGAAGAAAAAUAAAAUAAAAUGUGCUUAUUUAACUUGAAGGAAAGUGCCCGCCUUCUUGCAUAUUUGCAAGAAUAAGCAUUUAGUCAAUAAUCGGUCAUCUUCAACACUUCUUACAAAUAAACUAGAUUUUGUAGUCUAUUGCAAGUCAGCAUUUCUCACUGGCUAUGAUGGAGAUGGACUUGGGAUCCUAGGAAGAAGGCCCGGAAACGACAUUUCUUCUCCUUUUAUGAUUUCAGUGAAGAAUGCAAAUUGCACAUCAGAUUUUGAGGAAUACUUUGCCAAAAGAAAACUGGAGGAACGCGAUGGUCAUGCAGUCAGCAUCGAGGAGUACCUUCAGCGCAGUGACACAGCCAUUAUUUACCCAGAAGCCCCUGAGGAGCUGUCUCGCCUUGGCACGCCAGAGGCCAAUGGGCAAGAAGAAAAUGACCUGCCACCUGGAACUCCAGAUGCUUUUGCCCAACUGCUGACCUGCCCCUACUGCGACCGGGGCUACAAGCGCUUGACAUCACUGAAGGAGCACAUCAAGUACCGCCACGAGAAGAAUGAAGAGAACUUUUCCUG
This 676-nucleotide small RNA is filed under the name Pongo abelii (Sumatran orangutan). Its description in RNAcentral is "retained intron". Lineage: Eukaryota; Metazoa; Chordata; Mammalia; Primates; Hominidae. The record is from RNAcentral.